RNAcentral lists this long non-coding RNA (406 nucleotides) under Phoenix dactylifera (date palm). RNAcentral describes it as "long non-coding RNA (PDAC_LNC021299)". The record is from RNAcentral. Lineage: Eukaryota; Viridiplantae; Streptophyta; Magnoliopsida; Arecales; Arecaceae.
UAAUGAGCAGUAAUGGCAAUAAAACAAUUACUACCUACAGAUGCUGACCAAAUAUCAGAAGUUAAUGAAAUUUUUACAUUUAAAGUAGAGAGUGUUUCAAUUAAACUUUGUCUAGUUAGUCAUAGCUACUCUUCUAAAUGUACGCCUACUAGUUCUUUUGUAAGCAAGUUGUAGGUUUAAUUGAACAUAUUCUUCAAAAUUAAAAGAUUCACAUAAACUAAAAGGUAAUUCAUCCUUAACUAUCCAUUUUACAAGUGCUUUUCUUUGAUUUUCUUGAUUAUAUGCAAAAUUACCUACAAGUAAUCCCCCUUAUAUAUUAAGGGUAAUUUGAGUUUGAGCAUGAGAAUCAUGCAUCCUAUGACUCUCUUGAUGUCUUUUUAAAUGGCAUGUUCCCCCACUACUACUA